UACGGAGGGGGCUAGCGUUGUUCGGAAUUACUGGGCGUAAAGAGCGCGUAGGCGGCUUUGUAAGUUAGAGGUGAAAGCCCGGAGCUCAACUCCGGAAUUGCCUUUAAGACUACAUCGCUAGAAUCGUGGAGAGGUGAGUGGAAUUCCGAGUGUAGAGGUGAAAUUCGUAGAUAUUCGGAAGAACACCAGUGGCGAAGGCGACUCACUGGACACGUAUUGACGCUGAGGUGCGAAAGCGUGGGGAGCAAACAGG
Molecule: ribosomal RNA, 253 nt
Filed under: uncultured bacterium
Lineage: Bacteria
Description: partial 16S ribosomal RNA
Rfam family: Bacterial small subunit ribosomal RNA
Source: RNAcentral